Molecule: ribosomal RNA, 612 nt
Filed under: Rhodobacteraceae bacterium N3mML2
Lineage: Bacteria; Pseudomonadati; Pseudomonadota; Alphaproteobacteria; Rhodobacterales; Paracoccaceae
Description: bacterial SSU rRNA
Rfam family: Bacterial small subunit ribosomal RNA
Source: RNAcentral
UCGAGCGCGCCUUUCGGGGCGAGCGGCGGACGGGUUAGUAACGCGUGGGAAUAUACCCUUUGGUACGGAAUAGCCUCUGGAAACGGAGAGUAAUACCGUAUGAGCCCUUCGGGGGAAAGAUUUAUCGCCAAAGGAUUAGCCCGCGUUAGAUUAGGUAGUUGGUGGGGUAAUGGCCUACCAAGCCUACGAUCUAUAGCUGGUUUUAGAGGAUGAUCAGCAACACUGGGACUGAGACACGGCCCAGACUCCUACGGGAGGCAGCAGUGGGGAAUCUUGGACAAUGGGGGCAACCCUGAUCCAGCCAUGCCGCGUGAGUGAUGAAGGCCUUAGGGUCGUAAAGCUCUUUCGCCUGUGAAGAUAAUGACGGUAGCAGGUAAAGAAACCCCGGCUAACUCCGUGCCAGCAGCCGCGGUAAUACGGAGGGGGUUAGCGUUGUUCGGAAUUACUGGGCGUAAAGCGCACGUAGGCGGACUGGAAAGUUGGGGGUGAAAUCCCGGGGCUCAACCCCGGAACUGCCUCCAAAACUAUCAGUCUAGAGUUCGAGAGAGGUGAGUGGAAUUCCAAGUGUAGAGGUGAAAUUCGUAGAUAUUUGGAGGAACACCAGUGGCGAAA